RNAcentral lists this small nuclear RNA (105 nucleotides) under Helianthus annuus (common sunflower). Lineage: Eukaryota; Viridiplantae; Streptophyta; Magnoliopsida; Asterales; Asteraceae. The record is from RNAcentral.
GUCCCUUUGGGGACAUCUGAUAACAAUUUGGAACGAUACAGAGAAGAUUAACAUGGUCCCUGCGUAAGGAUGACACGUACAAAUCGAGAAAUGACCCUUGAAUUG